This is a long non-coding RNA of Vidua chalybeata, 769 nucleotides long. RefSeq lists it as uncharacterized. The record is from RefSeq and is a predicted model, not a curated record. Lineage: Eukaryota; Metazoa; Chordata; Aves; Passeriformes; Viduidae. The transcript has 2 exons.
AGCAACUGCAAUCAAAUGGAUUCCAGCUGGAUGCAGAAUGAUGGCGCUUGGGAACUGUAAAACCAACUGAUCAGAAGGGUUGCUGAUUUUAAAAUACGCAGUCACCUCCUUAUGCUGCCAUGUGGGUGGCAGCAGCGCGGAGCUCCCUGGACCACGCUGUUCCGGUGCCUGCACUGCCACCAUGCAUUUCCCGACUUCCCGCGAGUGCCAAAAGCACUUUUCAGAAAGUCAAAAUAAAAGCCACGAAAUAAAAACACUAUUUCCACUAUCCAACAUAUUUUCAUGUGGUAAAGCCGUCAAUUCAAUUUCAGUUAUCAACAUGCAGAAGAAGAAGGAAUGAAAUCUAAUGUGAACUUACGGCUAUAGCACGUUCUCUUUGAACUCUGCAAUUGGUCUUGUGCUGUAGAGAGUGGAAAGGAUGGAGUCCCAGUAUUCUGUUUGAGUCAGUUUUCUAGUAAUUCUAUGAGCUAAUGUUAUCCCACAGCUCAAUAUUUUAAAAAGAAUCACUGAAAUACUUAUGACUUGUUACUGUGCAGUCUAUUCAAUCAAAUGAAGUUUUGGUUAUCUCAUCAUGACAGAUGUUUUACGUUUCAUGGAAUCUUCCCCUUUCACCUCCAAUGUUACUUAAAUUAAUUAUUGUAUUAUUGGCCUUUUGUUUGUAAUUAAGAAGAGUUUGCUUUAAAUAUUUUUGUGUUGCUCACUGAUACAGUUAUGUCAUUUGCCCUGUGCUGAAAUGUAAAAACACACAAUGAAAACCUUGAAAUUUCAA